This is a long non-coding RNA of Triticum urartu, 2692 nucleotides long. RefSeq lists it as uncharacterized. The record is from RefSeq and is a predicted model, not a curated record. Lineage: Eukaryota; Viridiplantae; Streptophyta; Magnoliopsida; Poales; Poaceae.
UCCGCUGCUCGCACGCCGUGGCUCCUUGCCCAAUCGCAUCCACACCAGGCGAACCCUAAGCCUCCUUUCCCCCGAUCACCCAGCCGCCGCACGGCCUCGCUCCUCCUUCCCUCCCGCUGCACCCUCUCCUCGCUCGCAGCCGCCUCCUUUACACCUCCGCCUGAGCUCCGCCUUCCUCGCCGACCUCCCUCCCGCGCCUCUCCCUCCUCCUGCCUCCUCUCUCCCGCUUCACCACAGCCGCCGGUCCCCUCCCUCCCCGUCCAUCCUCUCCCUCUCGUUAGCCGCCGCUGCACGAACCUCUCGGAUGUGUGCCAGGUAGAAGGCCGGGUGGAUGUCUUUGCUCAGCAGGGGAGUGAAAGAAGGAUAUGAGGGAGAAAGAGAGGAAAGAGGAGACGGAAGUCCGGCGGCUGACGGGACAGGGUUGACGGCGGCUCGAUCCGCUCCCGGAUUGAGAGCUGCCAGGAGGCUGGGGCUUGGGCGCGAUGCACGGGAGGCUGCAGUCCACCUCUUCCUUGUGGUGCAGCGGACGCCGGCAUCAGCGGGUGGGCGACAGACCGCGGCCUCAGCGGGUGGGCGACGACACCUGCAGCUGGUGCUAUACCCAUGGAUUCCGGCACAACUCGAAACAUUCAGGUACGAACAUACAUAUAACAUGAGUUGCCAUGAAAGAUGUCUUCCCAUCUCAAGUGAUGAAGACGGCGUACCUUUAUUUUUUGACACAAGUACUGGUCGGUGUUGGAUUUGGGCUUUAUAAACUUGGCUUUCCAGCAGUUGGUUUUCCUCCAUCGCCUGCUUAUUUUCCCUCUUCGAAGAGUGAAUAAAAGAUACAUGAUGAAAUACAGGUAGACAAGUGUGUGGAAAUUGGACUUCCAGAACUCAUCCUAAUGGUCGCAUUUUCUCAGGUACACAUUACAAUUUUUUAUGAAUUUCUGCUGGACCAAACCAUUGUUUAAAUGGUUUUGAAUGAGGUGAUGUUGUACUAAUCAUGUUUGUUUCCUAGACGAUAUUUUCCUCAUCUGUUGCAUUCUGGAAAGUGUCUUUGGUCGGUUUUCUGUUCUUUUCACCGUUUCAAUCGUGUGACUGUACACAUGUAUCCUCACAAUUAGUGGCGCUUACAAGAAUGGCGGGCCUACCUGUAGCUUUUCUUAUGUAGUUAAAUAAAACAACCCAGGGUCUCACACUUUACUUCCUUUCUAAUAUAAUAAGGCUGCUAUUGCCUGUUAAUACUUCACAUUGGCGAUGAGCUUUACACCAGUUAUAGUUCAUCGAUUAUCUUCUGCCUUUUUGAUAAACAUAAUUAUAUGUUAAUUUGCUAUACUGUUUUCUUACUUUUUUUAUCAAACUGCCAUAUAUGAUACACGAAGAAGCAUUUACCUGAAGGCAUUAAUAGCGUUUUCACAUAGAAUUUGUUCUUUUUUUGCUCCCUUAAUUAGAUGCUCUAGAAACCUGAUAAGUGUCACGUUGAUUCAGACUUGGUGCUAGAUGUGUUAGCCCCCAUUUAUCCUUGACAAGUACCGUAUUCUCAAAUCUAUAUGGUUGGUUGUACUUCUUUUAUGUUGGAGCUACAGAUGCAUCUCGGUCAUUUACGGAAACUAAAAUCUGCAUCUUCAGCUCAUAGUUUGCCAAAAUUUCUUGAGAUUUAUUCAUAUUGUUCUUAUUAGGUACUUCAAGUCAAACUUUCUUGAGAUUUAUUCAUGUUGUUCUUAGGUACUUCAAGUCAAACUGUACAUGCAAUUAAUGGGGCUACAUGAUAGUCACUUUAAUAUAUCUUCUUGGAAGCCGCUUAGUGUUUCCAUGAAUAAUUGUCGCUGGUCUGUUGCACGCCUUCAUUGUUUGGUGGGCUACUUCCUGCCUGAUGUGGUUGAAGAAUUUUUAGAGGCAUGGUUCAUCUUGCGUGCAGCUUUUAGUUUGAGUUUCUAUUGACACAUUACAUUCCUUUUCAUGUAGACCUCUCCUUUUUCAUUUUUUAUAGCUGGGUGUAAUAGCAAGUCGUCUAUAAUCAUUUUGUUUAACUACAAUCCGAUGCAAAAAACUUCUGUUUAGUCCUCAUAGUUCAUCCAUAAUAUGUUUGCUUUCAAAACAAAGAAAUCGGGGGUCCAGGUUCUGAUCAUGCUCCGAUUGAGUCUAUGUAGCUGUCCUUGGUUUUUUUCUAUACGCUUGCAUCAUCUAGGUUCUGACCAUGGCACAAUCUUGUUUCAAAUUUGUUCUCAUAUAUGUAUGCGCCGUGAUGAUUGAUGAGGCGUAUUGGUGGAAAUAAAUCUGAAGCAAAUAAGAGCUGCGAGCAACUGGUUGUGCCCCUGUUAACCUGCUCAAUAUUCGUGUUGUUUGCCUGUCGGUCAAAUGCCCGCUAUUCAGCAGACAGGCAAGACAAAACUUGAAAGGUGAUCUGGGACAAGUGGAAGGAGGGAAGCCGCUGUAAGAUCGAUAAUAACUUGCCGACAAGAGCAUGUUCAUUCAGACGUUUCCUUACUAAAAGUUAUUUAUCUGUAGCAAGUGUUUCUAUUGGAACUAUCAAAUUCAAACUCCUAGGUGUCUAUGUCAGGAUGUAGGACUUUGUCCGGGCAGCGAUACCCCCUCUGAUCUUUUCGUGAAUACUUUCACAAUUCUUUCUGUAAAGUGCUGCUGAUUUUAAUAAAAUCCCUUUGUUCAAAAAACAAUAUAAUUCAAGCUCCUAGAAGAGCUUGUUCAUUCA